CGCGGAUCGAAACGGUAUUGAACUUGCCAGCCUAUCGACCAACGCAUCAAUCGGAAUCGCGAAACAAUACGAAUGGAGAAAAGGUAAGAUUUUGAAACGAGGCGAUACAGAGAUAAUGAUAAGGACGAUACGACAGAACGUUCCGACGUAUUCGUUAGGAAAAUGUGAAUUGCAACGAUAACGCUAGUUUGGAAUUGGAAAAUAAAUUAUAUCAAGAAGAUAUCAUCGAAUGCUUCGGUGCAUGGGUGAAAGUUCUAAAAGUGGGCGCUAUAUCGUCGUCUAUGAGAGUAUGCUCGUUACACUUUACAGAAGAAAAUUAUAAAGUAUAUAAUUAUAAAAUUUCAGUGGACUUGUAAAGAUUUCAGGUUCUACGUAUAAUUUAAUUAAUGAAAUAAAAAUAGAGGGCCGGUAAUCUGCUGAUAAAAAUUUUCCAGUCCGCCUUCGUUUUAUUCUAUAAAAUAAAUAUUAUUGUAAUAAUAGGUAAAUAUUAAUUGUACAUAAAAUUUAUGAUUUUUAGGAAAUCAACAACCAACAACCUCCCAAGCUAUUCAAUUGAUACAGAGCCUAGUACAUCAAUAGUUGUUCAAGCUACUGAAUGAGGGAAAAGAUACUGAAUAUCUCUCAAAAGUUCUCAAAGCACAUAACUCUCAGAAACACUUGACGAGGUUCGAGCGUAACAUACCUAAUGAAGAUUUUAAUGAAGACAAUCGAUAAAAUCUUUACUUUGGGGUGUAGCGCACAUGAAUUUACAAAUUUCGUGCAUAGAAAUUCGUAUUAUUUUUGCAAUUAAAAAAUUGUAAAAUGUGUCAUUUUUAAAUCGUUAAAAUCAGUCGAUUUAAAUGAAUGAAUAAAGAGACCAAAGGACCUGUCCUCAGUAGUUUGCCAUCUUAGAGGCAAGAGGAUUGAAAUCUAAGCCACGUCUCCAUUAAGAUUGUCACUUUAAAAAAUUCUUUUAAAAAUUAUAAAUAUAAAUAUCGUUGAACGUAUUGAAACUAUGGAAAUUAUAAAAUAUAAAACGUUAAAUUUUUAGAUGAAAAUUAUUCAAUUGUAUAUUCUAUUGCUUUCCAGUUUCAGGUUCCUGGUGACUUCUGGCACAUGGCAGACUGAAGAGUUCGUCUUUGAAUUAACCAAAGACCAGAAACAACGGCUUAAACAAUAUAUCGGCAUAUGAGACCAAGACCGGCGAGUUUAGCUAACAAAUCACACUGGUUGGCAGCAAACCACCUAUUUGACGGUGGCUGAUUGUUCCGAAGACAAUAUCUCUUGACAAGUUUCAUGUAGUCAUACAAUUGGCUAUGGAUUGGAAAAACUACCAUCUGCACAUUUUUGCAAAGGGGAAUUUGUAAUACGGCGAUGUAUCAACAGAGGAUUUUUUUAAAAAUGCUUCUUAGUACAGAAGGGGAUAAAGUAAAUUAUGUAUAUGACUUGGGGCUAAUUGGGAUCAUGUGAUUCAUUAUCCGAUCAGGUAUUGUCGCAUGUUCCGAUAUGCAUCAAGAGGAAAAAGAUGUGUCCGUCUGAAGAUUCAGGUGGACUUUGGGGGUAUUACGAAAAGCUUGAAAACGUCCGUGAUGUUAACAAUCCAGAGCGAGAAGAGUUACUCGACUGACUGAUGCGCGAUAUAGAGGAGCGAAAAUAUGACCUUAAAGCAAUUAAUCUGCGUUUGGCUAAUCUUUAUUCCUAAAUGGAUAGUCAGUCAAGGGAAAAUCUCUCAGGAUGACUUCAUUGGCGAUCCGAUUAAAAUUGACGGUGGUUUUUGAUAAAUCAAGAAGUCAUAUUGUCAUGCAAGGAAAUAACCAUAAUCUAUCACGAUAAGGUCAAUAAAAAAUAUUUUUGAAUAUUUUCUAAACAGAAUUACCUAAAUUAACAUGAAUCUAAUUUAACUUGAACAAAUACGAAACGCGUGAUUAGAAAUAUUUAUUGGAUAUAUAUAUUAUUCACUGAUAUUCAAUUAUAGCGCCUAUCUAUUUCAUCAACUUUGUAAAUAUGCAUAUACCCACAUGAACAUCACCUUAACGAUAAUUCCGUUUUAUUAACGUACAUAAAUUAUACAAUACACAUAAAUUUCCAAUCUAAAUCAUGUGCAAGUAUUAUUUUAAUUCUUUGUAAAGAAUAUGUUAUGCAAUUAAAAUGCAUUUAGCCCCUAUUAUAUAUCUAAAAUAAAACAUUAAGGUUGGACAACAGCAAUAGUUGCAAUAAAAAUAAUCCAUAUCAAAUAUCAAUUAGAAAUCGUAAAAACUUAUUGUACCUUUAUGAGCCAGUUACACAAAUUUCAUAAUACCGAAUAUUAUAAUUUCUUGUUUUGCGAUCUCCUGCUGAUACGUUGGGACGCUAAAAUCGAAUUAUAAUUACAUACAAAUAUAUAUCUAUAAAAGAAAAUAUAUACAUAAUAUCAAAUUAACAAAAGCUAAAAUAAAAUUAUUUAAUUACA
Long non-coding RNA from Bombus huntii, 2428 nucleotides. RefSeq lists it as uncharacterized. NCBI's taxonomy places the organism in Eukaryota, Metazoa, Arthropoda, Insecta, Hymenoptera, Apidae. The transcript is spliced from 3 exons. The record is from RefSeq and is a predicted model, not a curated record.